RNAcentral lists this ribosomal RNA (378 nucleotides) under uncultured Lactobacillus sp. RNAcentral's name for it is "bacterial SSU rRNA". It matches the Rfam family "Bacterial small subunit ribosomal RNA", at positions 173 to 524 of the family's 1533-position model. The record is from RNAcentral. Lineage: Bacteria; Bacillati; Bacillota; Bacilli; Lactobacillales; Lactobacillaceae.
AUAAGAAAGCAGAUCGCAUGAUCAGACUUUUAAAGGGCGGGCGUAAAGCUGUCGCUAUGGGGAUGGGCCCCCGCGGUGCAUUAGCUAGUUGGUGAGGUAAAGGGCUUACCAAGGCGAUGAUGCAUAGCCCGAGUUGAGAGACUGAUCGGGCCACAUUGGGGACUGAGACACGGGCCCAAAACUCCUACGGGGAGGCAGCAGUAGGGAAUCUUCCACAAUGGACGCAAGUCUGAUGGAGCAACGCCGCGUGAGUGAAGAAGGUUUUCGGAUCGUAAAGCUCUGUUGUUGGUGAAGAAGGAUAGAGGUAGUAACUGGCCUUUAUUUGACGGUAAUCAACCAGAAAGUCACGGCUAACUACGUGCCAGCAGCCGCGGUAAU